Molecule: long non-coding RNA, 446 nt
Filed under: Oryza brachyantha (malo sina)
Lineage: Eukaryota; Viridiplantae; Streptophyta; Magnoliopsida; Poales; Poaceae
Description: long non-coding RNA (OBRA_LNC002511)
Source: RNAcentral
UGUUAUUUAUUAAAAUAAAUAGGGGGAUGUAUUUUUUUCCUCCUCCCUUUGCAUCAACCACAGUAAGGGUAAUGUAAUUUUGAUUUGUGAUAAGUGUAGGAAGUAUUUUUUUUCUCGCGAUCUUUUUUGGUAUUCCCAAAAAAAAGGUUUAUACACAAGCUCAUCACGGAAGUGCUACACCCGUAGGAGCACUCUCUCGUAUUUACACGGUACAUCGGUUGGUUGGCACGAACCGUACGAAACGGAAAAAAACGAGAAAAGUGAGGGGGUAAAGUGCAAAAAAAAGAAGAAGAAAGGAUCUCUAGCUUCCUACGCCCACACGGGGAGGCCACCCGGAGACGGUGGCGCGUAGCCGGCGCGGGCGGCGCGCUCGAACGGCGGGGAAUCUUCCCUCCUCUUCCUCCUAAGUCCGCGGCGCCAGCGGCGCGCGUGGGUCGGCGGCGNNN